Molecule: non-coding RNA, 110 nt
Organism: Pseudoalteromonas tunicata D2
Lineage: Bacteria; Pseudomonadati; Pseudomonadota; Gammaproteobacteria; Alteromonadales; Pseudoalteromonadaceae
Source: Rfam
AAGUUUGAUUAUUGGUUGAGUAUCCUAACGGGCUUUUCAACAAAAUAUAGUCAAAUUCUUUUAUAGGAGAUGUGUUAGUGGCCCGUAUAGCUGGCAUUAACGUCCCUGAU